UGAACUAUGUUAUGAUCGAUGAGUAGAAAAGUGAAAAAGAUGGUGGCUAACUCCUAGAAAAAGGGGGGAUGCUUAUGGUUCUCUGCUUUAUCCCUGGAAAGGAAUAGACAUGUCUGUUUUUGAAGCACUUACGCUGAUGGUUGCAUUUGCAACUUUAGUUGUGCUGAUCAUAGACCAAGA
RNAcentral lists this small RNA (180 nucleotides) under Candidatus Enterococcus dunnyi. RNAcentral describes it as "Enterococcus sp. 9D6_DIV0238 Listeria sRNA rli28". It matches the Rfam family "Listeria sRNA rli28". Lineage: Bacteria; Bacillati; Bacillota; Bacilli; Lactobacillales; Enterococcaceae. The record is from Rfam by way of RNAcentral.